AAGACAAAAAGGUUUGGGAGCCACUGAAACAGAGUACUGCUGACCAAUUCAGAUGAGAAAAAGGUUUGGGAGCCACUGAAACAGAGUACUGCUGACCAAUUCAGAUGAGAAAAAGGUUUGGGAGCCACUGAAACAGAGUACUGCUGACCAAUUCAGAUGAGAAAAAGGUUUGGGAGCCACUGAAACAGAGUACUGCUGACCAAUUCAGAUGA
Molecule: long non-coding RNA, 212 nt
Organism: Oncorhynchus tshawytscha (Chinook salmon)
Lineage: Eukaryota; Metazoa; Chordata; Actinopteri; Salmoniformes; Salmonidae
Exons: 3
Source: RefSeq, a predicted model, not a curated record